AGCAGUCGCCGCGGGAAUACAGAGGGUGCGAGCGUUAAUCGGAUUUACUGGGCGUAAAGCGUGCGUAGGCGGCUUCUUAAGUUGGAUGUGAAAUCCCUGAGCUUAACUUAGGAAUUGCAUUCGAUACUGGGAAGCUAGAGUAUGGGAGAGGAUGGUAGAAUUCCAGGUGUAGCGGUGAAAUGCGUAGAGAUCUGGAGGAAUACCGAUGGCGAAGGCAGCCAUCUGGCCUAAUACUGACGCUGAGGUACGAAAGCAUGGGGAGCAAACAGGAUUAGAUACCCUCCGUAGUCCCUGUCUCUUAUA
RNAcentral lists this ribosomal RNA (303 nucleotides) under uncultured bacterium. Its description in RNAcentral is "partial 16S ribosomal RNA". It matches the Rfam family "Bacterial small subunit ribosomal RNA", at positions 507 to 808 of the family's 1533-position model. The record is from RNAcentral.